GGAAUAUUGCGCAAUGGCCGCAAGGCUGACGCAGCGACGCCGCGUGCGGGAUGAAGGCCCUCGGGUUGUAAACCGCCGUCAGGGGGGACGAAUACCUGACGUCAAAUAGCCGAUCGGGGAUGACGGUACCCCCCGAGGAAGCACCGUCUAACUCCGUGCAAGCAGCCGCGGUAAUACGGAGGGUGCAAGCGUUGUCCGGAAUCACUGGGCGUAAAGGGCGCGUAGGUGGCUUUCUAAGUCACCUGUGAAAUCCCGGGGCUCAACUCCGGGGCUGCAGGUGAGACUGGAUGGCUAGAGCUCGGUAGAGGCGAGUGGAAUUCCCGGUGUAGCGGUGGAAUGCGUAGAUAUCGGGAAGAACACCAGUGGCGAAGGCGACUCGCUGGGCCGAUGCUGACACUGAGGCGCGAAAGCGUGGGGAGCAAAC
Molecule: ribosomal RNA, 424 nt
Filed under: uncultured bacterium
Lineage: Bacteria
Description: bacterial SSU rRNA
Rfam family: Bacterial small subunit ribosomal RNA
Source: RNAcentral